This 419-nucleotide ribosomal RNA is filed under the name uncultured bacterium. Its description in RNAcentral is "bacterial SSU rRNA". It matches the Rfam family "Bacterial small subunit ribosomal RNA", at positions 917 to 1345 of the family's 1533-position model. The record is from RNAcentral.
GGACCCGCACAAGCGGUGGAGUAUGUGGUUUAAUUCGAUGCAACACGAAGAACCUUACCAGGGUUUGAAAUCAUUUCAAAACUCCUUGAAAGAGGAGCCUCCUUCGGGAUGAAAUGACAGGUGGUGCAUGGCUGUCGUCAGCUCGUGUUGUGAAAUGUCGAGUUAAGUCUCGUAACGAGCGCAACCCAUGUCUCUUGUUGCUCACUGAGUGCUUAAGAGAGACUGCCGACCAACAUCGGAGGAAGGUGUGGAUGAUGUCAAGUCAGCAUGCCCCUUACAUCCUGGGCUACACACGUACUACAAUGGUAAGGACAAUGAGCUGCGAUCCUGCGAAGGCUAGCCAAUCUCAAAAAACCUUAUCUCAGUUCGGAUUGUACUCUGCAACUCGAGUACAUGAAGGUGGAAUCGCUAGUAAUCGC